RNAcentral lists this ribosomal RNA (376 nucleotides) under uncultured bacterium. RNAcentral describes it as "bacterial SSU rRNA". It matches the Rfam family "Bacterial small subunit ribosomal RNA", at positions 524 to 898 of the family's 1533-position model. The record is from RNAcentral.
UACGUAGGUGGCAAGCGUUGUCCGGAUUUACUGGGCGUAAAGGGCGUGCAGGCGGUUUGUUAAGUGCAGGGUGAAAGCUCCCGGCUCAACUGGGAGAGGUCCUUGCAUACUGGCAAACUCGAGGGAGGCAGAGGAAAGUGGAAUUCCCGGUGUAGUGGUGAUAUGCGUAGAUAUCGGGAGGAACACCUGUGGCGAAGGCGGCUUUCUGGGCCUUACCUGACGCUGAGACGCGAAAGCGUGGGGAGCGAACCGGAUUAGAUACCCGGGUAGUCCACGCCGUAAACUAUGGACACUAGGUGUGGGGGGUAUCGACCCCCUCCGUGCCGAAGCUAACGCAAUAAGUGUCCCGCCUGGGGAGUACGGCCGCAAGGCUAAA